RNAcentral lists this ribosomal RNA (620 nucleotides) under uncultured bacterium. RNAcentral describes it as "bacterial SSU rRNA". It matches the Rfam family "Bacterial small subunit ribosomal RNA", at positions 76 to 713 of the family's 1533-position model. The record is from RNAcentral.
UCCUUCGGGAAACGGAUUAGCGGCGGACGGNNNNNNNNNCGUGGGCAACCUGCCUUAUAGAGGGGAAUAGCCUUCCGAAAGGAAGAUUAAUACCGCAUAAUAUUAUCGAAUGGCAUCAUUUGAUAAUCAAAGGAGCAAUCCGCUAUAAGAUGGGCCCGCGUCGCAUUAGUUAGUUGGUGGGGUAAUGGCCUACCAAGACGACGAUGCGUAGCCGACCUGAGAGGGUGAUCGGCCACAUUGGGACUGAGACACGGCCCAGACUCCUACGGGAGGCAGCAGUGGGGAAUAUUGCACAAUGGGGGAAACCCUGAUGCAGCAACGCCACGUGAGCGAUGAAGGUCUUCGGAUCGUAAAGCUCUGUCUUUAGGGAUGAUAAUGACAGUACCUAAGGAGGAAGCCACGGCUAACUACGUGCCAGCAGCCGCGGUAAUACGUAGGUGGCAAGCGUUAUCCGGAAUUAUUGGGCGUAAAGGGAGCGUAGGCGGAUAUUUAAGUGGGAUGUGAAAUACAUGAGCUCAACUCAUNCGCUGCAUUCCAAACUGGAUAUCNAGAGUGCAGGAGAGGAGAGUGGAAUUCCUAGUGUAGCGGUGAAAUGCGUAGAGAUUAGGAAGAACACCAGU